AUUGAACGCUGGCGGCAGGCCUAACACAUGCAAGUCGAGCGGAGUGGCGAACGGGUGAGUAAUGUAUCGGAACGUGCCCCGUAGCGGGGGAUAACUACGCGAAAUCGUCGCUAAUACCGCAUACUAUUGGAGCGGCCGAUAUCGGAUUUGCUAGUGGGUGGGGUAACGGCUCACCAAGGCGACGAUCCGUAGCUGGUUUGAGAGUACGACCAGCCACACUGGGACUGAGACACGGCCCAGACUCCUACGGGAGGCAGUAGUGGGGAAUGUUGGACAAUGGGGGAAACCCUGAUCCAGCCAUCCCGCGUGUGCGAUGAAGGCCUUCGGGUUGUAAAGCACUUUUGGCAGGAAAGCGGUACCUGCAGAAUAAGCACCGGCUAACUACGUGCCAGCAGCCGCGGUAAUUC
Molecule: ribosomal RNA, 407 nt
Filed under: uncultured bacterium
Lineage: Bacteria
Description: partial 16S ribosomal RNA
Rfam family: Bacterial small subunit ribosomal RNA
Source: RNAcentral